This 1456-nucleotide ribosomal RNA is filed under the name uncultured bacterium. Its description in RNAcentral is "bacterial SSU rRNA". It matches the Rfam family "Bacterial small subunit ribosomal RNA". The record is from RNAcentral.
GAUGAACGCUAGCGGCAGGCUUAACACAUGCAAGUCGCGGGGCAGCGGGGGAUGAGCUUGCUCAUCCCGCCGGCGACCGGCGCACGGGUGAGUAACACGUAUGCAACCUGCCCCUGUCAGGGGGACAACCCACCGAAAGGUGGGCUAAACCCGCGUACAUCCGGAGGGGGCAUCCCCUUGGGAGGAAAGGAGCGAUCCGGACAGGGAUGGGCAUGCGUGACAUUAGCUUGUUGGCGGGGUAACGGCCCACCAAGGCGACGAUGUCUAGGGGUUCUGAGAGGAAGGUCCCCCACACUGGUACUGAGACACGGACCAGACUCCUACGGGAGGCAGCAGUGAGGAAUAUUGGUCAAUGGGCGAGAGCCUGAACCAGCCAAGUCGCGUGAAGGAUGACGGCCCUACGGGUUGUAAACUUCUUUUGUCAGGGAGCAAUUGGGUCCACGCGUGGGCUUAGCGAGAGUACCUGAAGAAAAAGCAUCGGCUAACUCCGUGCCAGCAGCCGCGGUAAUACGGAGGAUGCGAGCGUUAUCCGGAUUUAUUGGGUUUAAAGGGUGCGUAGGCGGAAUAUCAAGUCAGCGGUAAAAAAUUCGGGGCUCAACCCCGUCGUGCCGUUGAAACUGAUGUUCUUGAGUGGGCGAGAAGUAUGCGGAAUGCGUGGUGUAGCGGUGAAAUGCAUAGAUAUCACGCAGAACUCCGAUUGCGAAGGCAGCAUACCGGCGCCCAACUGACGCUGAAGCACGAAAGCGUGGGUAUCGAACAGGAUUAGAUACCCUGGUAGUCCACGCAGUAAACGAUGAAUGCUAAUUGUCCGGAGGGAUUGACCUCUGGGUGAUACAGCGAAAGCGUUAAGCAUUCCACCUGGGGAGUACGCCGGCAACGGUGAAACUCAAAGGAAUUGACGGGGGCCCGCACAAGCGGAGGAACAUGUGGUUUAAUUCGAUGAUACGCGAGGAACCUUACCCGGGCUCAAACGCAGGAUGACGGGUCCCGAAAGGGGCCUUUCUUCGGACAUUCUGCGAGGUGCUGCAUGGUUGUCGUCAGCUCGUGCCGUGAGGUGUCGGCUUAAGUGCCAUAACGAGCGCAACCCCUGUCCACAGUUGCCAGCAGGUAAAGCUGGGGACUCUGUGGAGACUGCCGGCGCAAGCUGCGAGGAAGGCGGGGAUGACGUCAAAUCAGCACGGCCCUUACGUCCGGGGCGACACACGUGUUACAAUGGCAGGUACAGCGGGAUGCCACGGGGCGACCCGGCGCUGAACCCGAAAACCUGUCUCAGUUCGGAUUGGAGUCUGCAACCCGACUCCAUGAAGCUGGAUUCGCUAGUAAUCGCGCAUCAGCCACGGCGCGGUGAAUACGUUCCCGGGCCUUGUACACACCGCCCGUCAAGCCAUGGAAGCCGGGGGUACCUGAAGUGCGUGACCGCGAGGAGCGCCCUAGGGUAAAACCGGUGACUGGGGCU